This 284-nucleotide long non-coding RNA is filed under the name Mytilus galloprovincialis (Mediterranean mussel). The record is from RNAcentral. Lineage: Eukaryota; Metazoa; Mollusca; Bivalvia; Mytilida; Mytilidae.
CACUGAACUAUUAUGCAUAUUUUUAGGGGCCAGCUUAAGGACACCUACAGCUGCGGGAAUUCUCGCUACAUUGGAGACCCUUUGGUUGCCUUCGGCUGUUGUCUGCUCUAUGGUCGGGUGGUUGUCGCUUUGACAUAUUCACCAUUUCCUUUCUCAAUUUUAAUAACUAUGUUUCUGAUCUAAUUUUGUAUUCUAUAAACGGCAUCUAUAUAUUUACACUACAAAUCUACAACUCUCAGUCUAUGGCUACACGUGCUGAUCUUAUCUAUAUUCAUGCAUAAUAU